AAAAAAAAGCGUUACUGACUACUAAUCUCCUAUAUUAAUUUAUUAACGUUUUUUUUAUAAGUAUAUUUAUUAAGGUUUGAGAAAAAUCUGAGAGGAUUUUCUAAUUUCAAAAAUAGAGAAAAGCCAUUUUCGUCACUUGUCUCUCUCCAUCGCUCUCCCCAAUUUCUCAUUAUCGCAAUUCACAAUCUCUCUCUCUCUCUCUCUCUCUCUCUCUCUCUCUCUCUCUCGUCGUUUGUGUAUAUGGAGCCAUGGCUGCCUGCGGCUUCGUCAAGCUCAACGCCUCAUCUUUCAACUGGAUCGAUCAACAGUCAUCUGCGCCGAGUUACCAUCCCGAUCCGCGCCGGGGCUUACACUGAUGAACUCGUUAAAAUCGCUGUUGGCUGCCCUUUGCACUACUCAUUUUGUGCAACUGGAAAUUGGGGCUUUUGAAGGAAUCUUCAGCCACAUGAAAUUGUUGAGCAGCAUUGCUGGUGCAGCAUGGGAAACAAUGGUAUCUCAGAGAUAAUAACACAUUGUGUUGUAGCAGAACCUCCAUCAGAAGGUUUAAGAUGAGCAACAUGAUCAACUGAGAUUCUUUCUGCUUCUACUGUAUAUGAAAGAGGUCCAACAAAAAAAAAAAAAUUUUUAAUGCAAGGAAAAGUUGGUCGGUAUGCACCAGUGUUCGAGAAGUACCAGUAAAAAGCAGAGUCAUUUAUGUGUGGUUGUAUCAGAAAGAGUAGCUGGAAUGUUCAGAAGACUCCUAUUGGUCUUAUUUUCAAGCAGAGAUGGAACAACUAUCUACUCUGACUACCUCACUUCUUCUGGUAAAUACCUCAAGUGUGCUUCCAGCAAUGUUGCUCCCUCUCAACUUCUUUCAUUCUUUAAAGCUCAGGUUGAUUAAAUUUUGGGAGACAACCCCAGAGCUACAAGCUACAUGGUUGGGUAGGGAAACAACUACCCUCGUCAAGUUCACCACAGGGAUUCUUCCAUUGUUUCAUAGAAGGUCAAUCCUAAAUUUGUUGCUUGCCGAGAGGGUUAUGCCACUUGGUUUUGCCGCAAAGGCUUGGCUGCACCUGCAAACUGCGCAUUUCAGACUCAUGUAAUAUUAUGUAUAUCGACCAUAAAUGUUAAAUGUUACAAAUAGAUUUUUGACUCAUUAGAAAUUACAUGAGCUUUGAUCAUGUUAUUGUUUACUUGGAAUACAUGUAUUGAAUAUUUUGAUAAUAUACAAAAUAUAUUAGAUUGU
Molecule: long non-coding RNA, 1225 nt
Organism: Cannabis sativa
Lineage: Eukaryota; Viridiplantae; Streptophyta; Magnoliopsida; Rosales; Cannabaceae
Exons: 6
Source: RefSeq, a predicted model, not a curated record